RNAcentral lists this ribosomal RNA (253 nucleotides) under uncultured bacterium. RNAcentral describes it as "partial 16S ribosomal RNA". It matches the Rfam family "Bacterial small subunit ribosomal RNA", at positions 524 to 776 of the family's 1533-position model. The record is from RNAcentral.
UACGGAGGAGGCUAGCGUUAUUCGGAAUUACUGGGCGUAAAGCGCACGUAGGCGGGCUGUUAAGUCGGGGGUGAAAUCCCGGGGCUCAACCCCGGAACUGCCUUCGAUACUGGCAGCCUUGAGUGCGAGAGAGGUUAGUGGAAUUCCGAGUGUAGAGGUGAAAUUCGUAGAUAUUCGGAGGAACACAAGUGGCGAAGGCGGCUCACUGGGUCGAUACUGACGCUGAGGUGCGAAAGCGUGGGGAGCAAACAGG